AAAAAUCCCAAAAUCCUCCAUUCCACUGCUUCACUGCUUCACUUUCCAUUAUCCUCGGUAUAACUUUCAUUCCCUUUUUCAUUUUCUGCUUCAUAUUCAAGGUAAGCCUCUUAAAAACUCAAUCUUGAUAACACCCACCAACCCCUUUUAGCUAAAUUUUACUUAAUUUUCAUAUAAAUUUGGAAUAGCCCUUUAAAAAUCUAAUCUUGAUAAUCACCCAC
RNAcentral lists this long non-coding RNA (221 nucleotides) under Nicotiana benthamiana. RNAcentral's name for it is "long non-coding RNA (NBEN_LNC030564)". The record is from RNAcentral. Lineage: Eukaryota; Viridiplantae; Streptophyta; Magnoliopsida; Solanales; Solanaceae.